CAAAGAUGGUUCUCACCUUUUUGAUUGCUACGCAACCUGGGUCAAGUGGCUUAUGUUUGGAGACCACGUCCCCCCUUCAAUUCAGUUGGAAGAAUAAAACUUGUCCAGUGAGGCCCUCAUAAGGUCUGUGCGAGCCUCCAAGGUGAACAGGCAAGGUUGUAGUACUUUCGCUCAGCAAGCCUGGACCAUGCAGAAAAGUGAAAAUAGUCAUGGAGAGUUGUCUCCCAUUAUCUUCUUCCAAGAAGCUACCUUCAGCAGCCAUAUACUUACUCUAAAAAUGUUAUCGAUGCUCGGAAUCUUUUGUGUUCCUGGUUGGGGCUGACCUUCGGACCGGCAGUUACAUCGUUCUUGCUUUGGUAAAGGUGCUGUGGAAGAAGCAAAGGAAACAGCAUCACUGGGUCUGCAGCCCUGGCUCCCUUCUUCGAUUACCAACUUCAGAAACAAGCUCACACAAUUGGAAGAGGAGUCUGGAGAUUCAUCUCCUCUGGACUGUAAAGAUGACAAAUCUCUCUCAACUCUUUGGUUAGAAAAUACAAUUAAGUGGACUGGAGUGGGCUCUCACCAAAGAAAAUUGGCUGGAUUGAGAUGUGAGCAUCCUAGAAGCUGAACCAAUAAAACUCAAUCAUUCCCAUCCCCUGGGGAAUUGGUGCUAGGGGAAAAGUUUGCUUUGAUAUCUCUGUGCAGUGGACAAAAAUGUGUGCAAGUCUCACCCAAUCAAUAGAAAUCUCUAAAAUGAAAGAUUGAAGCCGUCAGGAAAGGCAAGAUCUCUGAGAUGAGAAAUGUUUAUAUUUUUUGCGAGAUUUGUCUCCACUAAAUGCCAACCCCUCCCCGUCAGACCCCAUCUAAGUGUUUGCAUAGCUUUGGAGCACUGUGUGGUCUUUUCGCUCAAACUAAGAGGGCUUGAGGAACCUUCAGUCUGUAUGAGACACUUAAGAGAAAACAACAUGUAGCCACAUGACUUACAGGAUCAUAUGACAGGGAGGAGCCUGCAGAGCGAUGGCAUCCAUUCCUUGCUUUUUGUCUUAACCUGGAAGAUUUGAUCCUAUCCUGUGUCUAAAUGCUUCCAGAAAACAAGACUGCAUACUAUCCGAAGCACUCAGUGCCAGGAUGAAGAACUUUCGCCAUGAAGAAAGUUGUCCUUAUUUUUAGUCUUGCUGUUUAAUUCCUUAAUGCCAAUUAUAGCUGCCUUUUCCUCUGAUGUCAUGCUGAGACCAAAGCUGGCUAUGUACUGUACCGAAGGUGACAUUUUUUGAGGGAAUGAAUUAAU
Molecule: long non-coding RNA, 1267 nt
Organism: Equus caballus (horse)
Lineage: Eukaryota; Metazoa; Chordata; Mammalia; Perissodactyla; Equidae
Source: RefSeq, a predicted model, not a curated record